This 875-nucleotide ribosomal RNA is filed under the name uncultured bacterium. RNAcentral's name for it is "bacterial SSU rRNA". It matches the Rfam family "Bacterial small subunit ribosomal RNA", at positions 8 to 916 of the family's 1533-position model. The record is from RNAcentral.
AGAGUUUGAUCAUGGCUCAGGAUGAACGCUGGCGGCGUGCCUAACACAUGCAAGUCGAGCGAUCUUCUUCGGAAGAGAGCGGCGGACGGGUGAGUAACGCGUGGGUAACCUGCCUCAUACACAUGGAUAACAUACCGAAAGGUAUGCUAAUACAAGAUGAUAUAAGAGAUUCGCAUGGAUUUCUUAUCAAAGCUCCGGCGGUAUGAGAUGGACCCGCGUCUGAUUAGCUAGUUGGUAAGGUAACGGCUUACCAAGGCGACGAUCAGUAGCCGACCUGAGAGGGUGAUCGGCCACAUUGGAACUGAGACACGGUCCAAACUCCUACGGGAGGCAGCAGUGGGGAAUAUUGCACAAUGGGCGAAAGCCUGAUGCAGCAACGCCGCGUGAGCGAUGAAGGCCUUCGGGUCGUAAAGCUCUGUCCUCAAGGAAGAUAAUGACGGUACUUGAGGAGGAAGCCCCGGCUAACUACGUGCCAGCAGCCGCGGUAAUACGUAGGGGGCUAGCGUUAUCCGGAUUUACUGGGCGUAAAGGGUGCGUAGGUGGUUUCUUAAGUCAGGAGUGAAAGGCUACGGCUCAACCGUAGUAAGCUCUUGAAACUGGGAAACUUGAGUGCAGGAGAGGAAAGUGGAAUUCCUAGUGUAGCGGUGAAAUGCGUAGAUAUUAGGAGGAACACCAGUAGCGAAGGCGGCUCUCUGGACUGUAACUGACACUGAGGCACGAAAGCGUGGGGAGCAAACAGGAUUAGAUACCCUGGUAGUCCACGCCGUAACGAUGAGUACUAGUGUCGGGGGUUACCCCCCUCGGUGCCGCAGCUAACGCAUUAGUACUCUGCCUGGGGAGUACGCUCGCAGAGUGAAACUCAAAGGAAUUGACGG